GAUGAAGAACGCAGCGAAAUGCGAUACUUGGUGUGAAUUGCAGAAUCCCGUGAACCAUCGAGUCUUUGAACGCAAGUUGCGCCCGAAGCCAUCAGGUUGAGGGCACGUCUGCCUGGGCGUCACAUAUCGUUGCUCGAUGCCUAUCGCAUUGCGAUAGGACUUAGGGCGAAUGAUGGCUUCCCGUGAGCGUUGUUGCCUCGCGGUUGGUUGAAAAUCGAGUCCUUGGUAGGGUGUGCCAUGAUAGAUGGUGGUCGAGGUAGCGCGAGACCGAUCAUGUGCAUGCUCCCCAAAAUAUGGCCUCUGUGACCCACACGCGUCUUUUGACGCUCAUGACGAGACCUCAGGUCAGGCGGGGCUACCCGCUGAAUUUAAGCAUAUCAAUAAGCGGAGGA
Molecule: unclassified non-coding RNA, 392 nt
Filed under: soil metagenome
Description: partial contains 5.8S ribosomal RNA, internal transcribed spacer 2, and large subunit ribosomal RNA
Rfam family: 5.8S ribosomal RNA (bases 1-122)
Source: RNAcentral